AGUGAACGCUGGCGGUAGGCCUAACACAUGCAAGUCGAACGGCAGCACAGUAAGAGCUCGCUCUUACGGGUGGCGAGUGGCGGACGGGUGAGGAAUACAUCGGAAUCUACUUUUUCGUGGGGGAUAACGUAGGGAAACUUACGCUAAUACCGCAUACGACCUACGGGUGAAAGCAGGGGAUCUUCGGACCUUGCGCGAUUGAAUGAGCCGAUGUCGGAUUAGCUAGUUGGCGGGGUAAAGGCCCACCAAGGCGACGAUCCGUAGCUGGUCUGAGAGGAUGACAAGCCAAAAGGGAAAUGGGAAACGGGCCAAAACCCUAGGGGAGGCAGCAGGGGGGAAAAUUGGAAAAUGGGGGCAAGCCUGAUCCAGCCAUACCGGGGGGGUGAAGAAGGCCUUCGGGUUGUAAAGCCCUUUUGUUGGGAAAAAAAAGCAGCAGGUUAAAACCCCGCUGUUCUGACGGUACCAAAAGAAAAAGCACCGGCUAACUUCGU
RNAcentral lists this ribosomal RNA (491 nucleotides) under uncultured bacterium. RNAcentral describes it as "partial 16S ribosomal RNA". It matches the Rfam family "Bacterial small subunit ribosomal RNA", at positions 29 to 506 of the family's 1533-position model. The record is from RNAcentral.